This 428-nucleotide ribosomal RNA is filed under the name bacterium gwi81. Its description in RNAcentral is "bacterial SSU rRNA". It matches the Rfam family "Bacterial small subunit ribosomal RNA", at positions 33 to 506 of the family's 1533-position model. The record is from RNAcentral.
GACGCUGGCGGCAGGCUUAACACAUGCAAGUCGAACGCAUCCUUCGGGGUGAGUGGCAGACGGGUGAGUAACGCGUGGGAACGUGCCCUUCAGUUCGGAAUAACCCAGGGAAACUUGGGCUAAUACCGGAUACGUGCGAGAGCAGAAAGAUUUAUCGCUGAAGGAUCGGCCCGCGUCUGAUUAGCUAGUUGGUGAGGUAAUGGCUCACCAAGGCGACGAUCAGUAGCUGGUCUGAGAGGAUGAUCAGCCACAUUGGGACUGAGACACGGCCCAAACUCCUACGGGAGGCAGCAGUGGGGAAUAUUGGACAAUGGGCGCAAGCCUGAUCCAGCCAUGCCGCGUGAGUGAUGAAGGCCUUAGGGUUGUAAAGCUCUUUCGUCCGGGACGAUAAUGACGGUACCGGAAGAAGAAGCCCCGGCUAACUUCGU